This 561-nucleotide long non-coding RNA is filed under the name Daphnia pulex (common water flea). Its description in RNAcentral is "uncharacterized LOC124208622, transcript variant X2". Lineage: Eukaryota; Metazoa; Arthropoda; Branchiopoda; Diplostraca; Daphniidae. The record is from RNAcentral.
ACAGUCAGACAGAGAUAUGACAUUACACGUUUCACGUCCAACAAGUCGUAACUUUCAUAAGUUUCUUCGAAGUUCGAAACAAAUUAAAAAGUUAAACAAAGGAGAUCGGAUAAUGAGUCAACUGUUUGUUAACUUUUCCCUGUCAAGUUGUAAAUCUUCAAGAUAUUGGUGCCUUCACCAGAUCCAAUUCUUUACUGCAAUCUAUUUUAAGGACACAAGCAAGAAAAUGCUGCUACUCAAGUUUUAUGGUGAACGCCAUUGAGUUCUAAUUUAGGGAAAUGUUAAUCCCUCAGCCAUUAUUAUAGUUGUUUGGAAACUGAAGAUUGAUAAUUUGUGUAGACUUAGAUAAAUUACAAGUGCAUAUCUGGGCUGGGCUCCCAGAUAUGGUUCUGGCAAUGCUAAAAGGAAAAAAUUCUAUCAACUAUUUCUGGCGGAACCCCAUAGAAAUUUUUUUAAAAGAAAGUACUUUAUUAAUUUAAUCAAAUUUUGUCAUGGUACAACUCUAGAUAAGUUAAUAAGUAUUGUAAGUGUUGUAGCUGCCUGCUCCAGUGCGGCGGUAAG